UACGGAGGGUGCGAGCGUUGUCCGGAAUCAUUGGGCGUAAAGGGCGCGUAGGUGGUUUGUCGCGUUGUCCGUGAAAACUCACAACUCAAUUGUGGGCGUGCGGGCGAUACGGGCAGACUGGAGUACUGCAGGGGAGACUGGAAUUCCUGGUGUAGCGGUGGAAUGCGCAGAUAUCAGGAGGAACACCGGUGGCGAAGGCGGGUCUCUGGGCAGUAACUGACGCUGAGGAGCGAAAGCGUGGGGAGCGAACAGG
Molecule: ribosomal RNA, 253 nt
Filed under: uncultured bacterium
Lineage: Bacteria
Description: partial 16S ribosomal RNA
Rfam family: Bacterial small subunit ribosomal RNA
Source: RNAcentral